CAGCCGCCGCGGUAAUACGUAGGGUGCAAGCGUUAAUUGGAAUUACUGGGCGUAAAGCGUGCGCAGGCGGUUAUAUAAGACAGAUGUGAAAUCCCCGGGCUCAACCUGGGAACUGCAUUUGUGACUGUAUAGCUAGAGUACGGCAGAGGGGGAUGGAAUUCCGCGUGUAGCAGUGAAAUGCGUAGAUAUGCGGAGGAACACCGAUGGCGAAGGCAAUCCCCUGGGCCUGUACUGACGCUCAUGCACGAAAGCGUGGGGAGCAAACAGGAUUAGAUACCCCCGUAGUCCCUGUCUCUUAUAC
This 301-nucleotide ribosomal RNA is filed under the name uncultured bacterium. RNAcentral's name for it is "partial 16S ribosomal RNA". It matches the Rfam family "Bacterial small subunit ribosomal RNA", at positions 509 to 807 of the family's 1533-position model. The record is from RNAcentral.